RNAcentral lists this unclassified non-coding RNA (236 nucleotides) under plant metagenome. Its description in RNAcentral is "partial contains small subunit ribosomal RNA, internal transcribed spacer 1, and 5.8S ribosomal RNA". The record is from RNAcentral.
UUUCCGUAGGUGAACCUGCGGAAGGAUCAUUACUGAGUGGGGGCCCCUCGGGGUCCAACCUCCCACCCGUGUUUAACGAACCUUGUUGCAUCGGCGGGCCCGCCUCGCGGCCGCCGGGGGGCAUCUGCCCCCGGGCCCGCGCCCGCCGAAGCCACCAGUGAACGCUGUCUGAAGUAUGCAGUCUGAGACAAUUAUUAAAUUAAUUAAAACUUUCAACAACGGAUCUCUUGGUUCCG